This is a non-coding RNA of Paralichthys olivaceus (Japanese flounder), 602 nucleotides long. Lineage: Eukaryota; Metazoa; Chordata; Actinopteri; Pleuronectiformes; Paralichthyidae. The record is from RefSeq and is a predicted model, not a curated record.
UUGUGUCUCAGUCUGUCCUCGGAGACAUCGCGUCCAAAUGACACAGUUAGAAAACAGGCCGAACCAUAGAGUGGCAGUUCUUAUCUUCAUUCAACACGUCCGUAUUAAUGUAACUGUCUCUGGGUUACUAUGAGACUGACAGAAACUUCAAAACGCGAGGAUUCCCAAGCGAGUUCCGGAUUCAGUGGGAGUUUCUUGUUUCGCUGCGGAUUUCUCAUCGGGUUUCUGGACGUUUAUCCACCGGGGACACCGGAUAUGUUGACAUCCGCUGAAAGGGUUUGAAACGGCUCCAGGUGAAGACCUCCUCACGUCGAAGGGCAACAGGGCGAGCGGGGUUAUGCUGGCGUUGACGAAGAUGAGCUUGAAACCCACAGGAGCCGAGCUUCCUCUCCUGAGCGUGAAGACAAACAAGACACAUGCGCUUCACGAGUCCACGGGAAAGACGUCAACUCUGCAGCACACAGAGGUCGAGUGUAUUCACCUCCAGACGAGCUCCAGACUGUGAACCUCCGAAACAUCGGAAAUCAUCAGGAGCCGGACGACACGCAAAACCAGGUCCGAACCAGGAAGUGACGAUGCUGUUGAAAGCUUUAUCGACACGA